GUGUUUCGUUUGGUGGGGGAUACGUAUAGCCGAGAUGAUAGUUUCCCCGACCUAUUCACAUAUUUUCAAGCUUGAAAAGAUGACAUAUUCCAGCGGCACGUCCAAUCACCUUGUAUAUAUAGGAAGUGGACCCUCCGAGGACUUUUAAAUAAAAAUUAUAUUUAUAUUCAGUUGUGGAUCGAAGGAGGAUGGGAUACGAAGUAGGACUCCCCUUUUUGUGAACAAUCAAUGCAUUUGAAUGGAGACAUAUAAGUUGGAACCUCCUUUAUCCUGACUAGAUCUGCCCCUGAUAUUGCAUGCAUGUUUAUCAAGUGUUGGGUUACUUUAGCAUAACGGAUAUCACAGAGAGGGUUUUAAAAUGACGAGGAAUUAUAAGUAUACAAUUACUGAAAAGAGGAAGAGUGCAAGGACGAAUGGGAAUUAAAUUAAAAAUUUGCCACUUCACGAUAUUCGAAAAAGUACCUUGAACGUUGUUUUCAUCAUCUUGUCUGAAAUACUCUGAAUAAUGAGCUUCAAGGCGAAGCGCGAAAACAUUUUAGUCAUGUGAAAAUAAAUACCAAUGACAAACGUUGUACGGACAAACCCUUUAAAAAUCCCUCAAUAAAUAUUCAUGUUGCGUUUUCUUCUUCCAGUAGCAGUCACCGUCAACU
RNAcentral lists this long non-coding RNA (650 nucleotides) under Mytilus galloprovincialis (Mediterranean mussel). Lineage: Eukaryota; Metazoa; Mollusca; Bivalvia; Mytilida; Mytilidae. The record is from RNAcentral.